GACGAACGCUGGCGGCGUGCCUAACACAUGCAAGUCGAGCGGUCCUGCAUUCAACAUUGAGUAUUCAGCAGGCGUUGGAGAUGUAACCAGCGUCAAGCAGAAACGACUAUAUAUUAUAAUUUUUUGAAGUUUCUGCUUCACGCCAAAUCAAGUGCCAACACAAAGGGAGCUGAGUAUUGAAUGUUGAAUGCAGGAUAGCGGCGGACGGGUGAGUAACGCGUGGGCAACCUGCCUCAUACAGGGGGAUAACACAGGGAAACUUGUGCUAAUACCGCAUAAUAUCAUUGGGUGGCAUCACCUGAUGAUCAAAGGAGAAAUCCGGUAUGAGAUGGGCCCGCGUCCGAUUAGUUAGUUGGUGAGGUAACGGCUCACCAAGGCGACGAUCGGUAGCCGAACUGAGAGGUUGAUCGGCCACAUUGGGACUGAGACACGGCCCAGACUCCUACGGGAGGCAGCAGUGGGGAAUAUUGCG
RNAcentral lists this ribosomal RNA (472 nucleotides) under uncultured bacterium. RNAcentral's name for it is "bacterial SSU rRNA". It matches the Rfam family "Bacterial small subunit ribosomal RNA", at positions 28 to 368 of the family's 1533-position model. The record is from RNAcentral.